Molecule: non-coding RNA, 87 nt
Organism: Monascus purpureus
Lineage: Eukaryota; Fungi; Ascomycota; Eurotiomycetes; Eurotiales; Aspergillaceae
Source: the annotation of a GenBank genome assembly
CCGCUGGUGGUCUAGUUGGUUAUGGCUUUCGGCUGUAAUGGAAUAAUUGCCACCGAAAAGUCGCCGGUUCGAAUCCGGCCCGGCGGA